ACCCUCGGGUGACAGGGAGACAGGUGGUGCGAUGGUUGUCGUCAGCUCGUGUCGUGAGAUGUUGGGUUAAGUCCCGCAACGAGCGCAACCCCUACGUUUAGUUGCUAACGCGUGAAGGCGAGCACUCUAGACGAACUGCCGUUGACAAAACGGAGGAAGGUGGGAUGACGUCAAAUCAUCAUGCCCCUUAUGUUCUGGGCUACACACGUGCUACAAUGGCCGGUACAGACGGAGGCGAAGCCGCGAGGCGGAGCAAAUCCGAAAAAGCCGGUCUCAGUUCGGAUUGCAGGCUGCAAUUCGCCUGCAUGAAGUCGGAAUCGCUAGUAAUCGCAGGUCAGCAUGCUGCGGUGAAUACGUUCCCGGGCCUU
This 368-nucleotide ribosomal RNA is filed under the name uncultured Pelotomaculum sp. RNAcentral's name for it is "bacterial SSU rRNA". It matches the Rfam family "Bacterial small subunit ribosomal RNA", at positions 1016 to 1382 of the family's 1533-position model. Lineage: Bacteria; Bacillati; Bacillota; Clostridia; Eubacteriales; Desulfotomaculaceae. The record is from RNAcentral.